This 253-nucleotide ribosomal RNA is filed under the name uncultured bacterium. Its description in RNAcentral is "partial 16S ribosomal RNA". It matches the Rfam family "Bacterial small subunit ribosomal RNA", at positions 524 to 776 of the family's 1533-position model. The record is from RNAcentral.
UACGUAGGGUGCAAGCGUUGUCCGGAAUUAUUGGGCGUAAAGAGCUCGUAGGCGGUUUGUCGCGUCUGCUGUGAAAACCCGAGGCUCAACCUCGGGCCUGCAGUGGGUACGGGCAGACUAGAGUGCGGUAGGGGAGAUUGGAAUUCCUGGUGUAGCGGUGGAAUGCGCAGAUAUCAGGAGGAACACCAAUGGCGAAGGCAGAUCUCUGGGAAUGUUCUGACGCUGAGGAGCGAAAGUGUGGGGAGCGAACAGG